AGCGAACGCUGGCGGCAGGCCUAAUACAUGCAAGUCGAACGGUCUCUUCGGAGGCAGUGGCGGACGGGUGAGUAACGCGUGGGAACGUGCCCUUUGGUACGGAACAACUGAGGGAAACUUCAGCUAAUACCGUAUGUGCCCUUCGGGGGAAAGGAUUUAUCGCCAUUGGAGCGGCCCGCGUUGGAUUAGCUAGUUGGUGGGGUAAUGGCCCACCAAGGCGACGAUCCAUAGCUGGUCUGAGAGGAUGAUCAGCCACACUGGGACUGAGAUACGGCCCAGACUCCUACGGGAGGCAGCAGUAGGGAAUCUUGCGCAAUGGGCGAAAGCCUGACGCAGCCAUGCCGCGUGAAUGAUGAAGGUCUUAGGAUUGUAAAAUUACUUUCACCGGGGACGAUAAUGACGGUACCCGGACGAAGAAGCCCCGGCUAACUUCGUG
This 436-nucleotide ribosomal RNA is filed under the name uncultured bacterium. RNAcentral describes it as "bacterial SSU rRNA". It matches the Rfam family "Bacterial small subunit ribosomal RNA", at positions 29 to 507 of the family's 1533-position model. The record is from RNAcentral.